Molecule: long non-coding RNA, 2019 nt
Organism: Homo sapiens (human)
Lineage: Eukaryota; Metazoa; Chordata; Mammalia; Primates; Hominidae
Source: Ensembl
GGGCGGGGUGCCCGGGGACGUCAAAGGGCGGGAGUAGCUUCGGCGCCAAUCCUAGAUUCGAUAGGCCCUUGGGAGACAGAUCUCUUUCCUUAAACUUGUACAUAUCUGAGCAGAAAAGAAGCCUGUCUCUUAAAAGGAUUGGACAGAAACAUUUUCGCUAGAGUCUCGUUCUUUGGACGUGAUCCAAUCACUACUUCUCUACCUAUGAGACUGUUGAUCAUCUCUUUCUCAGAUGAGUUCUGCCAUUAAACUGAAUAUCCAAAUGUGCAUAAAUCCUGAAUCCUAGGCUAUUCUGGCCAAUCAGCAAGAGAAAGAUUUGAGAUUUAAGAAAUUUGCAGCAACAAGAAUUGACUGAUGGCAACUACUAUUUCUUAAUAAGAGUAUUUUACUUAUGUUCUCUGGUUCUUGAGAUUCAAAAUGUAUUUUGAGAAGCAGCAACAGGAGAACAUCUGGAGAGAGAAGGAGAUUCUCUCUUAGAAGGGAAAUCAAAGAGGAAACAAACAAAUGGAAGAACAUUCCAUGCUCAUGGAUAGGAAGAAUCAAUAUUGUGAAAAUGGCCAUACUGCCCAAGGUAAUUUAUAGAUUAAAUGCCGUCCCCAUCAAGCUACCAAUGACUUUCUUCACAAAAUUGGAAAAAACUACUUUAAAGUUGAUAUGGAACCAAAAAAGAGCCUGCACUGCCAAGACGAUCCUAAGGCAAGAGAACAAUGCUGGAGGCAUCAUGCUACCUGACUUCAAACUAUACUACAAGGCUACAGUAACCAAAACAGCAUGGUACUGGUACCAAAACAGAGAUAUAAACCAAUGGAACAGAACAGAGGCCUCAGAAAUAACACCACACAUCUACAACUAUCUGAUCUUUGACAAACCUGACAAAAACAAGAAAUGGGGAAAGGAUUCCCUAUUUAAUAAAUGGUGCUGGGAAAACUGGCUAGCCAUCUGUAGAAAGCUGAAACUGGAUCCCUUCCUUACACCUUAUACAAAAAUUAAUUCAAGAUGGAUUAAAGACUUAAAUGUUAGACCUAAAACCAUAAAAACCCUAGAAGAAAACCUAGGCAAUACCAUUCAGGACAUAGGCAUGGACAAGAACUUCAUGACUAAAACACCAAAAGCAAUGGCAACAAAAGCCAAAAUUGACAAAUGGGAUCUAAUUAAACUAAAGAGCUUCUGCACAGCAAAAGAAACUAUCAUCAGAGUGAACAGGCAACCUACAGAAUGGGAGAGAAUUUUUACAAUCUACCCAUCUGACAAAGGGCUAAUAUCCAGAAUCUACAAAGAGCUUAAACAAAUUUACAAGAAAAAAAUCAAACAACCCCAUCAAAAAGUGGGCAAAGGAUAUGAACAGACACUUCUCAAAAGAAGACAUUUAUGUAGCCAACAGACACAUGAAAAAAUGCUCAUCAUCACUGGCCAUCAGAGAAAUGCAAAUCAAAACCACAAUGAGGUACCAUCUCACACCAGUUAGAAUGGCAAUCAUUUAAAAGUCGGGAAACAACAGGUGCUGGAGAGGAUGUGGAGAAAUAGGAACACUUUUACACUGUUGGUGGGACUGUAAACUAGUUCAACCAUUGUGGAAGUCAGUGUGGUGAUUCCUCAGGGAUCUAGAACUAGAAAUACCAUUUGACCCAGCCAUCCCAUUACUGGUUAUAUACCCAAAGUAUAAUAAAACAUGCUGCUAUAAAGACACAUGCACACGUAUGUUUAUGGUGGCACUAUUCACAAUAGCAAAGACUUGGAACCAACUAUGAUAGACUGGAUUAAGAAAAUGUGGCACAUAUACACCAUGGAAUACUAUGCAGCCAUAAAAAAUGAUGAGUUCAUGUCCUUUGUAGGGACAUGGAUGAAGUUGGAAACCAUCAUUCUGAGCAAACUAUCGCAAGGACAGAAAACCAAACACCACAUGGUCUCACUCAUAGGUGGGAAUUGAACAAUGAGAACACUUGGACACAGGGUGGGGAACAUCACACACCGGGGCCUGUCGUGGGUUAGGGGUAGGGGGAGGGAUAGCAUUAGGAGAUA